RNAcentral lists this unclassified non-coding RNA (337 nucleotides) under soil metagenome. Its description in RNAcentral is "partial contains 5.8S ribosomal RNA, internal transcribed spacer 2, and large subunit ribosomal RNA". The stretch from base 1 to 120 matches the Rfam family "5.8S ribosomal RNA", at positions 35 to 154 of the family's 154-position model. The record is from RNAcentral.
GAUGAAGAACGUAGCGAAAUGCGAUAAGUAAUGUGAAUUGCAGAAUUCAGUGAAUCAUCGAAUCUUUGAACGCACAUUGCGCCCGCCAGUAUUCUGGCGGGCAUGCCUGUUCGAGCGUCAUUUCAACCAUCAAGCCCCCGGGCUUGUGUUGGGGACCUGCGGCUGCCGCAGGCCCUGAAAAGCAGUGGCGGGCUCGCUGUCACACCGAGCGUAGUAGAUUUUAUCUCGCUCAGGGCGUGCUGCGGGUUCCGGCCGUUAAACCACCUUCAUAACCCAAGGUUGACCUCGGAUCAGGUAGGAAGACCCGCUGAACUUAAGCAUAUCAAUAAGCGGAGGA